RNAcentral lists this unclassified non-coding RNA (336 nucleotides) under Hevea brasiliensis (rubber tree). The record is from RNAcentral. Lineage: Eukaryota; Viridiplantae; Streptophyta; Magnoliopsida; Malpighiales; Euphorbiaceae.
CAAUCAUAGAUAGCAUAUUACAGAAGGUUCAAUCCCUUGCAUAAAGAUUACAAUCAGCUCUUCUCUCUAACUGUUUAACAGCUCAACAACUGCUCUAACAGCUUAACAACUACACUAAUCAAUAUAUUUAUCCCCCCAAAAAAAAAAAAAAAUCCACCACCAAUCAACAUUAGACCGAAACAAGCUCUCAAUGGAAUCUCUGCUAAUUGAACUGAACUCUGCAAUCAGCUCCAGCUCAUUAUUCUGCAACCAUCCUAGCUUACUCAAACUAGGACAUAAACUCAGCUCACUCAUCAUGGUUGAAUGCUUUUAAAGUACAUAGCAGACCCAGACUUC